This 347-nucleotide unclassified non-coding RNA is filed under the name soil metagenome. RNAcentral's name for it is "partial contains 5.8S ribosomal RNA, internal transcribed spacer 2, and large subunit ribosomal RNA". The stretch from base 1 to 120 matches the Rfam family "5.8S ribosomal RNA", at positions 35 to 154 of the family's 154-position model. The record is from RNAcentral.
GAUGAAGAACGCAGUGAAAUGCGAUAAUUAAUGUGAAUUGCAGAAUUCAGUGAAUCAUCGAGUCUUUGAACGCACAUUGCGCCCCCUGGUAUUCCGGGGGGCAUGCCUGUCCGAGCGUCAUUGCUGCCCUCAAGCACGGCUUGUGUGUUGGGCUUCCGUCCCUGGCAACGGGGACGGGCCCAAAAGGCAGUGGCGGCACCAUGUCUGGUCCUCGAGCGUAUGGGGCUUUGUCACCCGCUCCCGUAGGUCCAGCUGGCAGCUAGCCUCGAAACCAAUCUUUUUAACCAGGUUGACCUCGGAUCAGGUAGGGAUACCCGCUGAACUUAAGCAUAUCAAUAAGCGGAGGA